This 370-nucleotide ribosomal RNA is filed under the name uncultured bacterium. RNAcentral's name for it is "bacterial SSU rRNA". It matches the Rfam family "Bacterial small subunit ribosomal RNA", at positions 434 to 793 of the family's 1533-position model. The record is from RNAcentral.
CAGUCGUGAGGAAGGCGGGUACGUUAAUAGCGUAUUCGUUUGACGUUAGCGACAGAAGAAAGCACCGGCUAACUCCGUGCCAGCAGCCGCGGUAAUACGGAGGGUGCGAGCGUUAAUCGGAAUUACUGGGCGUAAAGCGCAUGCAGGUGGUUUGUUAAGUCAGAUGUGAAAGACCCGGGGCGUCAACCUCGGAAUAGCAUUUGAAACUAGGCAGACUAGAGUACUGUAGAGGGGGGUAGGAAUUUCAGGUGUAGCGGUGAAAUGCGUAGAGAUCUGAAGGAAUACCGGUGGCGAAGGCGGCCCCCUCGGACAGAUACUGACACUCAGAUGCGAAAGCGUGGGGAGCAAACAGGAUUAGAUACCCUGGUAG